This 2022-nucleotide ribosomal RNA is filed under the name Vibrio cholerae CP1050(23). RNAcentral's name for it is "bacterial LSU rRNA". It matches the Rfam family "Bacterial large subunit ribosomal RNA", at positions 1 to 2067 of the family's 2925-position model. The record is from RNAcentral. Lineage: Bacteria; Pseudomonadati; Pseudomonadota; Gammaproteobacteria; Vibrionales; Vibrionaceae.
UUAAGUGACUAAGCGUACACGGUGGAUGCCUGGGCAGUCAGAGGCGAUGAAGGACGUACUAACUUGCGAUAAGCGCAGAUAAGGCAGUAAGAGCCGUUUGAGUCUGCGAUUUCCGAAUGGGGAAACCCAACUGCAUAAGCAGUUACUGUUAACUGAAUACAUAGGUUAACAGAGCAAACCGGGGGAACUGAAACAUCUAAGUACCCCGAGGAGAAGAAAUCAACCGAGAUUCCGGUAGUAGCGGCGAGCGAACCUGGAUUAGCCCUUAAGCACUCGGUGAAGUAGGUGAACAAGCUGGAAAGCUUGGCGAUACAGGGUGAUAGCCCCGUAACCGACGCUUCAUCGAGCGUGAAAUCGAGUAGGGCGGGACACGUGAUAUCCUGUCUGAAUAUGGGGGGACCAUCCUCCAAGGCUAAAUACUCCUGACUGACCGAUAGUGAACCAGUACCGUGAGGGAAAGGCGAAAAGAACCCCUGUGAGGGGAGUGAAAUAGAACCUGAAACCGUGUACGUACAAGCAGUAGGAGCACCUUCGUGGUGUGACUGCGUACCUUUUGUAUAAUGGGUCAGCGACUUAUAUUCAGUGGCAAGGUUAACCGUAUAGGGGAGCCGUAGCGAAAGCGAGUCUUAACUGGGCGCUCAGUCUCUGGAUAUAGACCCGAAACCGGGUGAUCUAGCCAUGGGCAGGUUGAAGGUUGAGUAACAUCAACUGGAGGACCGAACCGACUAAUGUUGAAAAAUUAGCGGAUGACUUGUGGCUAGGGGUGAAAGGCCAAUCAAACUCGGAGAUAGCUGGUUCUCCCCGAAAGCUAUUUAGGUAGCGCCUCGGACGAAUACUACUGGGGGUAGAGCACUGUUAAGGCUAGGGGGUCAUCCCGACUUACCAACCCUUUGCAAACUCCGAAUACCAGUAAGUACUAUCCGGGAGACACACGGCGGGUGCUAACGUCCGUCGUGGAGAGGGAAACAACCCAGACCGCCAGCUAAGGUCCCAAAGUAUUGCUAAGUGGGAAACGAUGUGGGAAGGCUCAGACAGCUAGGAUGUUGGCUUAGAAGCAGCCAUCAUUUAAAGAAAGCGUAAUAGCUCACUAGUCGAGUCGGCCUGCGCGGAAGAUGUAACGGGGCUAAGCAAUACACCGAAGCUGCGGCAAUGUCUUUUAGACAUUGGGUAGGGGAGCGUUCUGUAAGCCGUUGAAGGUGAAUCGUAAGGUUUGCUGGAGGUAUCAGAAGUGCGAAUGCUGACAUGAGUAACGACAAAGGGGGUGAAAAACCUCCUCGCCGGAAGACCAAGGGUUCCUGUCCAACGUUAAUCGGGGCAGGGUGAGUCGACCCCUAAGGUGAGGCCGAAAGGCGUAAUCGAUGGGAAACGGGUUAAUAUUCCCGUACUUCUGACUAUUGCGAUGGGGGGACGGAGAAGGCUAGGUGGGCCAGGCGACGGUUGUCCUGGUUCAAGUGCGUAGGCUUGAGAGUUAGGUAAAUCCGGCUCUCUCUAAGGCUGAGACACGACGUCGAGCUACUACGGUAGUGAAGUCAUUGAUGCCAUGCUUCCAGGAAAAGCCUCUAAGCUUCAGAUAGUCAGGAAUCGUACCCCAAACCGACACAGGUGGUCGGGUAGAGAAUACCAAGGCGCUUGAGAGAACUCGGGUGAAGGAACUAGGCAAAAUGGUACCGUAACUUCGGGAGAAGGUACGCUCUUGAUGGUGAAGUCCCUCGCGGAUGGAGCUGACGAGAGUCGCAGAUACCAGGUGGCUGCAACUGUUUAUUAAAAACACAGCACUGUGCAAAAUCGCAAGAUGACGUAUACGGUGUGACGCCUGCCCGGUGCCGGAAGGUUAAUUGAUGGGGUUAGCGCAAGCGAAGCUCUUGAUCGAAGCCCCGGUAAACGGCGGCCGUAACUAUAACGGUCCUAAGGUAGCGAAAUUCCUUGUCGGGUAAGUUCCGACCUGCACGAAUGGCGUAAUGAUGGCCACGCUGUCUCCACCCGAGACUCAGUGAAAUUGAAAUCGCUGUGAAGAUGCAGUGU